RNAcentral lists this ribosomal RNA (253 nucleotides) under uncultured bacterium. RNAcentral's name for it is "partial 16S ribosomal RNA". It matches the Rfam family "Bacterial small subunit ribosomal RNA", at positions 524 to 776 of the family's 1533-position model. The record is from RNAcentral.
UACGUAGGGGGCAAGCGUUGUCCGGAAUCAUUGGGCGUAAAGCGCGCGUAGGCGGCCCGGUAAGUCCGUUGUGAAAGUCAAAGGCUCAACCUUUGAAAGCCGAUGGAUACUGCCGGGCUGGAGUCCGGAAGAGGCGAGUGGAAUUCCUGGUGUAGCGGUGGAAUGCGCAGAUAUCAGGAGGAACACCAAUAGCGAAGGCAGCUCGCUGGGACGGUACUGACGCUGAGGCGCGAAAGCGUGGGGAGCGAACAGG